GACGAACGCUGGCGGCGUGCUUAACACAUGCAAGUCGAACGAUGAAGCGGUGCUUGCACCGUGGAUUAGUGGCGAACGGGUGAGUAAUACGUGAGUGACCUACCUUUGACUCUGGGAUAAGCCUGGGAAACUGGGUCUAAUACCGGAUACGACCAAUCUCUGCAUGGGGUGUUGGUGGACAGCGUUAUGGAGUGGUUUUAGAUGGGCUCACGGCCUAUCAGCUUGUUGGUGAGGUCAUGGCUUACCAAGGCGACGACGGGUAGCCGGCCUGAGAGGGUGACCGGCCACAGUGGGACUGAGACACGGCCCAGACUCCUACGGGAGGCCGCAGUGGGGAAUAUUGCACAAUGGGCGCAAGCCUGAUGCAGCGACGCCGCGUGAGGGAUGACGGCCUUCGGGUUGUAAACCUCUGUUAGCAUCGAAGAAGCGAAAGUGACGGUAGGUGCAGAGAAAGCGCCGGCCAACUACGUG
This 471-nucleotide ribosomal RNA is filed under the name uncultured bacterium. Its description in RNAcentral is "partial 16S ribosomal RNA". It matches the Rfam family "Bacterial small subunit ribosomal RNA", at positions 28 to 507 of the family's 1533-position model. The record is from RNAcentral.